This is a non-coding RNA of Lysinibacillus sp. BF-4, 98 nucleotides long. The record is from Rfam. Lineage: Bacteria; Bacillati; Bacillota; Bacilli; Caryophanales; Bacillaceae.
AUGAGGGUAAAGGUUACGCCCCAUAUAAUCUGAAGGAUUGGCUUCGGAGUAUCUACCUAGCACCUUAAUGCUAGACUAUGAGGAAAAUCAGUCUUUGA